GUGCUAUACUUCUGCUUAGCAUAUGCCCCACAGGCAACAGAGAGAUCCAUCCCUUUCACAGCAGCUUCAACUUCCAGGCUACUCUGGGGUUUCUAAAUCACUUUGGAGUACUUGGAAUGUGUUUAAGAGUUAACGAAAGCAUGGAAAUAGGCAACCAAAGUGCCCUUCUACCUGUAUCCUAGUUCUUUUUUUUUUUGUCUUGGAUUUUUCCCAAGGUUCUUAAAGGAAGAAGUGGUUGACAGCCACAUGUAUAAGCAAAGGCCUCUGCUUAGGAAGCAGGACUCGGCUCAUUUCUGUCUGUAACUUGAUGUAUGACUUUGGGCAAUGUGCUCUCCUUCCCUAUUCAUCUGUUUCCUUAUCUUGAAAAUCACAAAAUUGCCCUGCAUGACUUCUCUUUCAGCUCUAAUAUUCUUUGAUGCAACACUGGACAAGAUGCUAUGUGUGGAGCUCUGCACUGGAAGCUGCAGAUACAGCCAUGAGUGGAGGAUCGGGGUCUGGGUCUGUAAGCACUAAGAGCCUGAGCAGUGGGCCAGUGCUCCAAUGAAGCCAGAGGCCUCCUGGGUCCUGACACAGCUGGGGAUGGGAUUUGACAAAGGCCUGCAAACCGAAGCUGGACAACUUGAUAUAAAUCUGGAAGGACUCACCAUCACUGCAGACCAUGCAUGAGAAGGAAUGAUGUUCCUUGUGCCCAGGAAGCUAGGGAGACGUAUGAGAAGAAAGGAUGGCCUGUUAUGUGUAGUGACCUGAUGGAGACAGCCAUUCCACUCAGCCUCAUCCAAGGACAUGGGGACACAACAAGGGACCUCACGAGAUCGCUUUACAGACCAGUGAGAUACAAAGUCCUCUUCCAAAACCCUUCAGGUCACUUAGACACAGAAUCUAUACCAAAGUCCCCACAAUUCAGACCCCUAAUCUCCUUUCCCAGCGGCCUCUGGUCUUUCCACCAAAGGAUAUUUCAAAAAGUGUACCCAUAACUCUCUCCAAACUCCAUGAGGGAGGGUUUUGAAGAUGGCUUUCUAGAGUGCUGGUCUUCAAACUGAGCUCCUUCAGUCUCUAGAGGUCACAAGAGAAACCUCAGUGUCUCCACGUAAGCAAUGGGGAGGCCAAACGGGAUGGAUAGGCUCCUGAUCCCCAGUCCCAAGUCAACCACAGCAGUCUAUCUGUUUUAUAUUUUGGGCUUUUGGGUAAAAUUUUAUCUGCAAAAAGCCUCCAAUGCCAGAAAAACUAUUUUUAAACCUUUGAGCUGGAGGAUGCAUCUCAGUAUCCCUAUUGCAUCCUCACACUCAGGCAGACUUUGAGGGAGGUGGUACAUGGCAGAGGGUGGGAAUGGGCACUGGGCACACAAGUUCCAGGUACCUCACUAACAUUAUUAAAGGUCCGGAUAAGGAUAUAGCCUGUCUCAGUUUAUAGCAACUAUGAAGAAAUGGUUGUCUUGAUAAAAAAAAUUUACUGUUACCUUCUCCCAGUAAAAUAAAACUCAGACCUUCCAAAAUUUGGCCUGGAAGGAGAAUCUCCAGGUAAAGAAUGUGAAUUAGACCUAGAAACACUUUUUUCUGUUCCUCUGGGUUCCAUGUAUCAUUUUCCUCUUUGGAUUUUCUCAAUUGCUCAGUGUUUCUACUCUGCAGCAUUCCCCCACUAUGCCUGACAGGAGAAGUGCUGUUCCUCAGCAUCUAUCUGUCUUCAAACAUCUUUCCAUUUCCUCCUAAAAUGGCAACAAGUCACCUCCACAGAUUCCUCAGCUGAGAUAAGAUUGGAAUUUUCAAGAAACAAUUACAUAUUAAGGGGAAGUAAAAUGGAGGGGGAGUACAAAUCAUUUAAAUGAUGCAACUUUCAAGCACAUGGCUCUGAUCCACCUGAACUUUCAAGCAUGGGAGUCUUAUUCCACCUGAACUGAAUUAUUCCCCAGGGAUUUCACCCCUUCUCAUUUCAUGUGGGAUCCAUGAGUGGCUGUAAGCUAGCUAUCCAAAGGGCCAGAUCACCUCCAGAGCCUUUGCUUAAGCCCUCACUUCAAAACUCCCAUCCUGUUGCCACCCCCGCCCCCAGGAACUUGACUCUUUCCAUGGACAAAACCAAAAAUCAGUCAUCUCUUCUUCCUACCUAAGGUUGGUCCGGAGGCACAUUUCUUCUGCAGGGAUUGGCAAGGAAGAUUUCAGUCUUCAAGGUCUGUUGCUGGGCCUGGGCAAUGGAUGCGUUUUUCAGUAAUAAAGAGAAGAAUUUGAAGUUCCAACAGAUGAUUCAGGAAAUGAGGAAAGAUGACUAGGGGGUGGGUGCUACAUAAAGAAGGAAUUUGAAGACAGCAGGAAUAUCUCAAAAUGGACUUUGGCAUGACUGUUAUAAAUUCUUCCUCUAACUCCUCUACAGAAUCUUUAAUAAAGUCUACAAUGCUCUUUUGUACAUUUGUGCGAGUGAAUUCUCUUAGGCAUUGACUUUCAUGUCAGGUUGGGUCAUUCUUGGUGCAACACAAAGGCGGCACUGGAGGGAAACAAAGUGUGGAGGCAAAUGGGCCACGAGACUUUAAGUCCUCAGGAAACAGAUGUCAGGGGUGGGGGAAUGGUUUCCCCAGGCUGUGAAACGGAGAUGUGAGGCUUGUGUUUGGCUGCAACUUGUGGGUCCAGCAGGCUCUAGCUGACCAGAACUACAACAUGAUAAAUUGUCAUUUCAAUCCUUCACUGGCUACCCAUUGUCUAAGUCCAUACUCCUUGGCAGGAGAGGUGCUGCUCCUCCAAACUUUCUUCCUUCAAACAUUUUUUCCAUUUUCCUCUAAAAAUGGCAACAGUUCCCUUUCACAGAUUCAAUAGCUAAGACUGGAAUUUUCAAAACAACUAAGUAUUGGAGAGUAAAAGGGGAAAAAAAGUAUAAAUCAUUUAAAUGAUGCUACCUCCUGCAAUAGGGCUCUGAGUCUUUGUAUGGAUGAUACAUAAAGCCCUUUCAAAUCUGGCCUGCCACCUCUCCAUUGUCAUUUCUCCCAUACACUGCCUUGCCACUGCAUGCUACAGCAUUACCAUUUGCAAGAAACCUAAAUGACGACACUCUAACCCCACCAAGGAAAACAAAUUACUCUUCUCUGUCUCUUCCGAGCAUAGCAUUCCAGAUCAUUUUGCAUAAAUAUUUAUUGACAUGCUUGGCUCUCCUAAAAGAUUUUGUGAGUUUCCAACCCCAGAACCCACUGAGUGCUUAAAAAGUAGUAGAAUCUCAAUGAAUGUUUGUUGAAUUAAAACGAUUCCAAAGAUUGAUGUUAAAACAGAAAAGGAACAGACAGACAGAGUUGGAACGGCAAUUCUGCCACUUACUGGCUUGACAACUUUGGACCAGUUCCUUAAUCUCUCAGUGUCAACUGCUUCAUCCAUCAAUAAUGGUACUUUGUAGAGAGAAGGUGAAAGCAUAUAAAGUAUCUGGUCCCAGUGGUCGCUCUUAAUUAGUAGGCCAGGGGCUUCCCAGAUUUUUCAUUAUCAGCAAUGAAAUAUUUCAUAGAACCAGAUAAGAGCAGAGCUACUGUAACUUAGGGGUGCAGCCUCAGAGCCCCACCUGCUUAGCUACACCCACAUCUUGACCUACUCACUCCCACCCCAGAAGAACCCCAGGACUCCCAGAGCAUGGAGUAAAAUCUACUGUCUUAAAACAGCAUGGGAGGCAUACAACUAGUAGUAUGUGAGAUGAUUUUAAGUGGC
RNAcentral lists this long non-coding RNA (3668 nucleotides) under Homo sapiens (human). RNAcentral describes it as "HSALNT0179379". Lineage: Eukaryota; Metazoa; Chordata; Mammalia; Primates; Hominidae. The record is from RNAcentral.